CUUAAUUUUUCUAUUAGUUUUUGGAAGUGGGUCCUGCUAAAUAGUAUUAUUCUUUCCUCACAACUGGCUAAAAGUCUAACCCUAUCUAAUCUAGGCCUUUUAUGGUCAAGGUCCUAAUCUCAUUAAUUAAUGUUUGCUCAAUUGUCUUUUUUAGUUGGUUAUCUCCUAUAUGAAGUAUCUAUUCAAUAAUAAAUAUCGGAUUGAUAAGCAUAUUAGUAUGAUCAUCAUGCCAGUCUGCUUUCUAGGGCCCUUGAUUACUGACGAUUGUCCUUACAACCCAUGGAGAUAUGGAGGCAAGAGUAACAUGGCCUUCAUGUGCUGAAGAAUAGGCUGUGUCAUUAUCAAACUAUAAAGAAAAUACCCUCUCACUCUCUACAAUCUCUGCGGGCCAUUGCAUUUCGGUGCAAAUUUUGUUGUCCAUUCCUGCAAAUCAAUCUCAGUCACAGAACAUGGAAAGAGUUUCUCUCAAAGACGACGGCUCAUCGAUAAAUCCAAGGCUAUUGAGACUUGCAAGACAACAAUUAAGUUGAGAGACAAAUACAGUUUUUUUGGGUAUUGAUGCUUCAAGGUGGCAGGGUUGAAUAAACAAUAUGCUAUCCUAAAAGCAGUAUAAAAAAAUAAGGGUAAAAAUGUACCUCUAUGACAUUAAAUAAAAGGCAAAUAGGUGUAUACACAUCAGUUAGGGGUGUAAACGAGUUGGGCUACUCGAGAUUGACUCGAAAAAAGCUCGAGAUCGGCUCGAAAAAUUCGAGUCGAGCUCGAGCUCGAGUUCGAGUAGCUCCAUCUCGAGCCGAGCUCGAGUACCAUUUACUAAGGCUCGUGAGGCUCGCGAGCCUAAACGGGUCUAAACGAGCUUGUUAUAAAAUAACAAUAAUAAUUUUAUUAUCAUUAUAUUAAAUUUUUACACCUUUAAAUUUA
Long non-coding RNA from Mercurialis annua (annual mercury), 918 nucleotides. RefSeq lists it as uncharacterized. Lineage: Eukaryota; Viridiplantae; Streptophyta; Magnoliopsida; Malpighiales; Euphorbiaceae. The record is from RefSeq and is a predicted model, not a curated record. The transcript is spliced from 3 exons.